This 254-nucleotide ribosomal RNA is filed under the name uncultured bacterium. RNAcentral describes it as "partial 16S ribosomal RNA". It matches the Rfam family "Bacterial small subunit ribosomal RNA", at positions 524 to 776 of the family's 1533-position model. The record is from RNAcentral.
CACGUAGGGGCCAAGCGUUGUCCGGAUUCAUUGGGCGUAAAGAGCUCGUAGGCGGUUCGAUAAGUCGGGUGUGAAACCUCCAGGCUCAACCUGGAGACGCCACCCGAUACUGUCGUGACUAGAGUCCAGUAGGGGAGCGUGGAAUUCCUGGUGUAGCGGUGAAAUGCGCAGAUAUCAGGAGGAACACCAGCGGCGAAGGCGGCGCGCUGGGCUGGAACUGACGCUGAGGAGCGAAAGCGUGGGGAGCGAACAGG